RNAcentral lists this ribosomal RNA (253 nucleotides) under uncultured bacterium. RNAcentral's name for it is "partial 16S ribosomal RNA". It matches the Rfam family "Bacterial small subunit ribosomal RNA", at positions 524 to 776 of the family's 1533-position model. The record is from RNAcentral.
UACGUAGGCAGCAAGCGGUGAUCGGAAUUACUGGGCGUAAAGGGCGCGUAGGCGGUGCUCUAAGUUUGGUGCGAAAUCUCCCGGCUUAACUGGGAGGGUGCGCCGAAGACUGGAGUGCUUGAGUGCGGGAGAGGAAAGCGGAAUUCCUGGUGUAGCGGUGAAAUGCGUAGAGAUCAGGAGGAACGCCUGCGGUGUAGACGGCUUUCUGGACGGUAACUGACGCUGAGGCACGAAAGCGUGGGUAGCAAACAGG